RNAcentral lists this long non-coding RNA (420 nucleotides) under Homo sapiens (human). RNAcentral describes it as "non-protein coding TBX2-AS1:15". Lineage: Eukaryota; Metazoa; Chordata; Mammalia; Primates; Hominidae. The record is from RNAcentral.
GGCCUCUCGGGGAGGGACCCGUUGUGGACACGUUUGCGCAGCCGGUGCCCUGGCAGGAGGGACUGGCUUAUGCCACCCUGUGCAGGAUCGUCUUCUCAGCUUACAGAGCCUAGUGUGAUUCAACAACCCUCCAUCUCUGCCCCCAACAUGCCCAACUGAUCUGGUGGAGGGAACUGAAGAUGAAGGCCUCUCAGGCACCAUGGAUGGGAUGGGUGUGUGUGAAGGGGGCAGGGUCCCCAGGAGCUGCCCCAGGUCUGGCUGGACAGUUGCACGGGAAGUCCUGUUUGUGAACUCAACGUUUCCACGGCUUUUCCAUUAAACUUUACCCCAAAUCACACCUGGCUCUGUGGGUUUCCUUCCAUUCUCCAAGGCCUCCCUGGGGUCUCUGGGAAGUGUGGGCCAGGGAAGGGGGCAAAGGAC